Molecule: non-coding RNA, 131 nt
Filed under: Lachnospiraceae bacterium 28-4
Lineage: Bacteria; Bacillati; Bacillota; Clostridia; Lachnospirales; Lachnospiraceae
Also listed under: 1 other name
Description: SAM riboswitch aptamer (S box leader)
Rfam family: SAM riboswitch aptamer (S box leader)
About the family: The SAM riboswitch is found upstream of a number of genes which code for proteins involved in methionine or cysteine biosynthesis in Gram-positive bacteria. The SAM riboswitch acts at the level of transcription termination control.
Source: Rfam by way of RNAcentral
CUCUUAUUCAGAGUGGUGGAGGUACAUAGGACCUGUGAAACCACGGCAACCCCUGAUAAGGAAGGUGCCUGCCUGAGCGAGUAAUAACAAACGGCGUAGCUAUUAGGCCGUAGUGGAUCGAACAAUAAGAG